RNAcentral lists this transfer RNA (72 nucleotides) under Camelus bactrianus (Bactrian camel). It matches the Rfam family "tRNA". From Rfam's summary of the family: Transfer RNA (tRNA) molecules are approximately 80 nucleotides in length. Their secondary structure includes four short double-helical elements and three loops (D, anti-codon, and T loops). The record is from Rfam by way of RNAcentral. RNAcentral also lists the same sequence under 2 other names. Lineage: Eukaryota; Metazoa; Chordata; Mammalia; Artiodactyla; Camelidae.
GAGGGUGUAGCUCAGCAGUAGAGCAUGUGCUUAGCAUGCACGAGGUCCUGGGUUCAAUCCCCCGUAUCUCCA